GCGAGGGUGGCGGAAUAGGCAGACGCGCACGUUUGAGGGGCGUGUGGUUUAACCGUGCCGGUUCAAGUCCGGUCCCUCGCA
Molecule: transfer RNA, 81 nt
Filed under: Firmicutes bacterium CAG:41
Lineage: Bacteria; Bacillati; Bacillota
Rfam family: tRNA
About the family: Transfer RNA (tRNA) molecules are approximately 80 nucleotides in length. Their secondary structure includes four short double-helical elements and three loops (D, anti-codon, and T loops). Further hydrogen bonds mediate the characteristic L-shaped molecular structure. tRNAs have two regions of fundamental functional importance: the anti-codon, which is responsible for specific mRNA codon recognition, and the 3' end, to which the tRNAs corresponding amino acid is attached (by aminoacyl-tRNA synthetases). tRNAs cope with the degeneracy of the genetic code in two manners: having more than one tRNA (with a specific anti-codon) for a particular amino acid; and 'wobble' base-pairing, i.e. permitting non-standard base-pairing at the 3rd anti-codon position.
Source: Rfam by way of RNAcentral